CACGUAGGGCGCAAGCGUUGUCCGGAAUUAUUGGGCGUAAAGAGCUCGUAGGCGGUCUGUUGCGUCUGCUGUGAAAACCCGGGGCUUAACCCCUGGCUUGCAGUGGAUACGGACAGACUAGAGGUAGGUAGGGGAGAAUGGAAUUCCCGGUGUAGCGGUGAAAUGCGCAGAUAUCGGGAGGAACACCGGUGGCGAAGGCGGUUCUCUGGGCCUUGCCUGACGCUGAGGAGCGAAAGCGUGGGGAGCGAACAGG
RNAcentral lists this ribosomal RNA (253 nucleotides) under uncultured bacterium. RNAcentral describes it as "partial 16S ribosomal RNA". It matches the Rfam family "Bacterial small subunit ribosomal RNA", at positions 524 to 776 of the family's 1533-position model. The record is from RNAcentral.